GUGAGGAAUUUUCCGCAAUGGGCGAAAGCCUGACGGAGCAAUGCCGCGUGAAGGAUGAAGGCCUAUGGGUUGUAAACUUCUUUACUUAGAGAAGAAUAUUGACGGUAUCUGAGGAAUAAGCAUCGGCUCACUCUGUGCCAACAGCCGCGGUAAGACAGAGGAUGCAAGCGUUAUCCGGAAUGAUUGGGCGUAAAGCGUCUGUAGGUGGCUUCAAAAGUCUCCUGUCAAAGAUCAGGGAUUAACCCGGGGCCGACAGGAGAAACUCUGAGGCUAGAGUGUGGUAGGGGGAGAGGGAAGUCCCUGUGGAGCGGUGAAAGGCGUAGAGAUCGGGAGGAACACCAAAGGCGAAAGCACGCUGCUGGGCCACAACUGACACUGAGAGACGAAAGCGAGGGGAGCAAAAGGGAUUAGAUACCCCAGUAGUCC
This 426-nucleotide ribosomal RNA is filed under the name uncultured bacterium. RNAcentral's name for it is "partial 16S ribosomal RNA". It matches the Rfam family "Bacterial small subunit ribosomal RNA", at positions 354 to 796 of the family's 1533-position model. The record is from RNAcentral.